Molecule: ribosomal RNA, 468 nt
Filed under: uncultured bacterium
Lineage: Bacteria
Description: partial 16S ribosomal RNA
Rfam family: Bacterial small subunit ribosomal RNA
Source: RNAcentral
GACGAACGCUGGCGGCGUGCUUAACACAUGCAAGUCGAACGGAAAGGCCCUGCUUUUGUGGGGUGCUCGAGUGGCGAACGGGUGAGUAACACGUGAGUAACCUGCCCUUGACUUUGGGAUAACUUCAGGAAACUGGGGCUAAUACCGGAUAGGAGCUCCUGCUGCAUGGUGGGGGUUGGAAAGUUUCGGCGGUUGGGGAUGGACUCGCGGCUUAUCAGCUUGUUGGUGGGGUAGUGGCUUACCAAGGCUUUGAUGGGUAGCCGGCCUGAGAGGGUGACCGGCCACAUUGGGACUGAGAUACGGCCCAGACUCCUACGGGGGGCAGAAGUGGGGAAUAUUGCACAAUGGGCGGAAGCCUGAUGCAGCAACGCCGCGUGCGGGAUGACGGCCUUCGGGUUGUAAACCGCUUUCGCCUGUGACGAAGCGUGAGUGACGGUAAUGGGUAAAGAAGCACCGGCUAACUACGUG